This 676-nucleotide ribosomal RNA is filed under the name uncultured bacterium. RNAcentral's name for it is "bacterial SSU rRNA". It matches the Rfam family "Bacterial small subunit ribosomal RNA", at positions 62 to 735 of the family's 1533-position model. The record is from RNAcentral.
UCGAACGGAACUGUUUUGAAAGAUUUCUUCGGAAUGAAUUUGAUUUAGUUUCGUUGCGGACGGGUGAGUAACGCGUGAGUAACCUGCCUUCAAGAGGGGGAUAACAUUCUGAAAAGAAUGCUAAUACCGCAUGACAUAUCGGAAUCACAUGGUUUUGAUAUCAAAGAUUUUAUCGCUUGAAGAUGGACUCGCGUCCGAUUAGUUAGUUGGUGAGGUAACGGCUCACCAAGACCGCGAUCGGUAGCCGGACUGAGAGGUUGAACGGCCACAUUGGGACUGAGACACGGCCCAGACUCCCACGGGAGGCAGCAGUGGGGGAUAUUGCGCAAUGGGGGCAACCCUGACGCAGCAACGCCGCGUGAAGGAUGAAGGUUUUCGGAUUGUAAACUUCUUUUAUUAAGGACGAAACUUGACGGUACUUAAUGAAUAAGCUCCGGCUAACUACGUGCCAGCAGCCGCGGUAAUACGUAGGGAGCAAGCGUUGUCCGGAUUUACUGGGUGUAAAGGGUGCGUAGGCGGCUUUGCAAGUCAGAUGUGAAAUCUAUGGGCUCAACCCAUAAACUGCAUUUGAAACUGUAGAGCUUGAGUGAAGUAGAGGCAGGCGGAAUUCCCCGUGUAGCGGUGAAAUGCGUAGAGAUGGGGAGGAACACCAGUGGCGAAGGCGGCCUGCUGGGCU